This 497-nucleotide ribosomal RNA is filed under the name uncultured bacterium. RNAcentral describes it as "partial 16S ribosomal RNA". It matches the Rfam family "Bacterial small subunit ribosomal RNA", at positions 28 to 507 of the family's 1533-position model. The record is from RNAcentral.
GACGAACGCUGGCGGCGUGCCUAAUACAUGUAAGUAGAACGCUGAAGCGAGGAGCUUGUUAUUAUUGGAUGAGUUGAGAAAGGGUGAGUAAAGCGUAGGUAAAAUGGAUUGUAGUGGGGGAUAAAUAUUGGAAAAGAUAGCUAAUACCGCAUAACAAUGGAUGACACAUGUCAUUUAUUUGAAAGGGGCAAUUGCUCCACUACAAGAUGGACCUGCGUUGUAUUAGCUAGUAGGUGAGGUAAUGGCUCACCUAGGCGACGAUACAUAGCCGACCUGAGAGGGUGAUCGGCCACACUGGGACUGAGACACGGCCCAGACUCCUACGGGAGGCAGCAGUAGGGAAUCUUCGGCAAUGGGGGCAACCCUGACCGAGCAACGCCGCGUGAGUGAAGAAGGGUUUCGGAUCGUAAAGCUCUGUUGUAAAUCAAUAACGGGUGUGAGAGUGGAAAGUUCACACUGUGACGGUAGCUUACCAGAAAGGGACGGCUAACUACGUG